CCGACACCGGGUCCGGGGCGUGACAUCAGUACUGAUCCAUGGGCACAUUGUAACGUCCUAAAGAACAAAGUAUACAGGGUUAAGACCCACUGCACCCACCUGUAAGAGAUGGAACAUUAUUAGACAAAAGAAAUAACAACAAAAAAAAGAAAUUAGGCCCAAAACACAGCCCAGACCCAAAGGCACUCAAACCCUAGCCAAACUUCCAAGCUGCAUCAGCCACCACGCCUCCACCACGGUUACAAGACUCUAGCCACCGCCACGAGUAGCCGUCGGCCACCAUCCACUCCUCCAUUAUCGCCAGCACGCCGACAAGAGCACCUCCCGUCCUCCCCGCAUGGUUCCGAAACACCCAUCAGAUCGGAGAACUUCGAUCCGAAAAAGCCUGUCGAAACCCCGCCUCACACUAACCUGCCAGCCACCGCCUAUCAAGGGAUAGAACACCGGUACCAGCAGGUUGCUCCCUCUAGAAUCUCUUAGCGAUCAGAAAACGCAGGACCACCACAAGGCUUGCAAGCUCGUCAAGGUUCGAUCUACGCCGCCGCAGCACAGGCUGAGAUAUGGCUAGCAAAAAAAAGAUCCCCGCCCGGCUGCACUCACCAACCAGGCAAAAGCCUGACAAGGCGCGGGAGCCGCCGGACG
This 642-nucleotide long non-coding RNA is filed under the name Rosa chinensis. RNAcentral's name for it is "sRNA RchiOBHm_Chr4g0388781". The record is from RNAcentral. Lineage: Eukaryota; Viridiplantae; Streptophyta; Magnoliopsida; Rosales; Rosaceae.